CCUACGGGAGGCUGCAGUGGGGAAUAUUGGACAAUGGGCGAAAGCCUGAUCCAGCAAUGCCGCGUGAGUGAUGAAGGCCUUAGGGUUGUAAAGCUCUUUUACCCGGGAUGAUAAUGACAGUACCGGGAGAAUAAGCUCCGGCUAACUCCGUGCCAGCAGCCGCGGUAAUACGGAGGGAGCUAGCGUUGUUCGGAAUUACUGGGCGUAAAGCGCACGUAGGCGGCUUUGCAAGUUAGAGGUGAAAGCCUGGGGCUCAACUCCAGAAUUGCCUUUAAAACUGCAUCGCUUGAAUCCGGGAGAGGUGAGUGGAAUUCCGAGUGUAGAGGUGAAAUUCGUAGAUAUUCGGAAGAACACCAGUGGCGAAGGCGGCUCACUGGACCGGUAUUGACGCUGAGGUGCGAAAGCGUGGGGAGCAAACAGGAUUAGAUACCCCAGUAGUC
Molecule: ribosomal RNA, 440 nt
Filed under: uncultured bacterium
Lineage: Bacteria
Description: partial 16S ribosomal RNA
Rfam family: Bacterial small subunit ribosomal RNA
Source: RNAcentral